ACGAACGCUGGCGGCGUGCUUAACCCAUGCAAGUCGAACGGAAAGGCCCCUUUGGGGGUACUCGAGUGGCGACCGGGUGAGUAACACGUGAGUAACCUGCCCUUGACUUCGGGAUAACUUCAGGAAACUGGGGCUAAUACCGGAUAGGAAUCCUUGCUGCAUGGUGGGGGUUGGAAAGCUUCGGCGGUUUUGGAUGGACUCGCGGCUUAUCAGCUUGUUGGUGGGGUAGUGGCUUACCAAGGCUUUGACGGGUAGCCGGCCUGAGAGGGCGACCGGCCACAUUGGGACUGAGAUACGGCCCAGACUCCUACGGGAGGCAGCAGUGGGGAAUAUUGCACAAUGGGAGGAAGCCUGAUGCAGCAACGCCGCGUGCGGGAUGACGGCCUUAGGGUUGUAAACCGCUUUCAGCAGGGGCGAAGCUUGUGGUGACGGUACCUGCAGAAGAAGCACCGGCUAACUACGUG
This 464-nucleotide ribosomal RNA is filed under the name uncultured bacterium. RNAcentral describes it as "partial 16S ribosomal RNA". It matches the Rfam family "Bacterial small subunit ribosomal RNA", at positions 29 to 507 of the family's 1533-position model. The record is from RNAcentral.